RNAcentral lists this ribosomal RNA (486 nucleotides) under uncultured bacterium. RNAcentral's name for it is "bacterial SSU rRNA". It matches the Rfam family "Bacterial small subunit ribosomal RNA", at positions 28 to 507 of the family's 1533-position model. The record is from RNAcentral.
GAUGAACGCUAGCGGCAGGCUUAACACAUGCAAGUCGAGGGGCAGCACUAGGUAGCAAUACUGAGGUGGCGACCGGCGCACGGGUGCGUAACGCGUAUCCAACCUUCCCGAUACUCUUGGAUAGCCUUCCGAAAGGGAGAUUAAUACAAGAUGGUGUUUCAAUUCCGCAUGUUAUUGAAACUAAAGAUUUAUCGGUAACGGAUGGGGAUGCGUGACAUUAGGUAGAUGGCGGGGUAACGGCCCACCAUGCCUACGAUGUCUAGGGGUUCUGAGAGGAAGGUCCCCCACACUGGAACUGAGACACGGUCCAGACUCCUACGGGAGGCAGCAGUGAGGAAUAUUGGUCAAUGGUCGGAAGACUGAACCAGCCAAGUAGCGUGAAGGAUGAAGGUUCUAUGGAUUGUAAACUUCUUUUAUACGGGAAUAAAACCACCUACGUGUAGGUGCUUGUAUGUACCGUAUGAAUAAGCAUCGGCUAACUCCGUG